GAAUGGCCGUUUGGAGUUUCACCUGCAUCUUCAUCGCUGCUUCAACAAACCGAUUGCUAAGAGCACUAUUCGAGCAUGCCGUAUCGCGAAUUGGAAAAUUAGACACGAUCGAUCGUACUUACUUUCUACUAACGGCGCUAGAUUUCUAUCAUAAUCAGAACUUGAACGAAGAAGAAAAGGAAUCUUUUCUUGCAACAUUUAAGAAAGUUGCUCAAACGGGAACGCCUUACGCCGAUCUUGUACAGAGGAUUACUUGAAAUAUCAUGAGCACCAAAUACCUAAUUUUGAAGAUGACGAUGGCAACUAUCCGUGUAAUUUAAAUUAGAAUUUUUCAAAUUGAAUGUAUGAAUAAAUUAUUUGGUGUGCUUAA
Long non-coding RNA from Xenia sp. Carnegie-2017, 370 nucleotides. RefSeq lists it as uncharacterized. The transcript has 3 exons. Lineage: Eukaryota; Metazoa; Cnidaria; Anthozoa; Malacalcyonacea; Xeniidae. The record is from RefSeq and is a predicted model, not a curated record.